UACGUAGGCAGCGAGCGUUGUUCGGAAUUACUGGGCGUAAAGGGUGUGUAGGCGGUGCUCUAAGUUCGGCGUGAAAUCUCCUGGCUCAACUGGGAGGGUGCGCCGGAAACUGGAGUGCUUGAGCGUGGGAGAGGAAAGCGGAAUUCCUGGUGUAGCGGUGAAAUGCGUAGAUAUCAGGAGGAACACCGGUGGCGAAGGCGGGUCUCUGGGCCGUAACUGACGCUGAGGAGCGAAAGCGUGGGGAGCGAACAGG
Molecule: ribosomal RNA, 253 nt
Filed under: uncultured bacterium
Lineage: Bacteria
Description: partial 16S ribosomal RNA
Rfam family: Bacterial small subunit ribosomal RNA
Source: RNAcentral